GGCGUUCGAAUUGUAGUCUG
This 20-nucleotide small nuclear RNA is filed under the name Arabidopsis thaliana (thale cress). RNAcentral's name for it is "snRNA_09997". Lineage: Eukaryota; Viridiplantae; Streptophyta; Magnoliopsida; Brassicales; Brassicaceae. The record is from RNAcentral.